RNAcentral lists this ribosomal RNA (725 nucleotides) under uncultured bacterium. RNAcentral's name for it is "bacterial SSU rRNA". It matches the Rfam family "Bacterial small subunit ribosomal RNA", at positions 94 to 818 of the family's 1533-position model. The record is from RNAcentral.
ACCGGCGCACGGGUGAGUAACACGUAUCCAACCUGCCGAUAACUCGGGGAUAGCCUUUCGAAAGAAAGAUUAAUAUCCGAUAGCAUAUCAAGAUCGCAUGAUCUUGAUAUUAAAGAAUUUCGGUUAUCGAUGGGGAUGCGUUCCAUUAGUUAGUUGGCGGGGUAACGGCCCACCAAGACGACGAUGGAUAGGGGUUCUGAGAGGAAGGUCCCCCACAUUGGAACUGAGACACGGUCCAAACUCCUACGGGAGGCAGCAGUGAGGAAUAUUGGUCAAUGGACGAGAGUCUGAACCAGCCAAGUAGCGUGAAGGAUGACUGCCCUAUGGGUUGUAAACUUCUUUUAUAUGGGAAUAAAACAGGGUAUGCAUACCCUCUUGUAUGUACCAUAUGAAUAAGGAUCGGCUAACUCCGUGCCAGCAGCCGCGGUAAUACGGAGGAUCCGAGCGUUAUCCGGAUUUAUUGGGUUUAAAGGGAGCGUAGGUGGAUUGUUAAGUCAGUUGUGAAAGUUUGCGGCUCAACCGUAAAAUUGCAGUUGAAACUGGCAGUCUUGAGUACAGUAGAGGUGGGCGGAAUUCGUGGUGUAGCGGUGAAAUGCUUAGAUAUCACGAAGAACUCCGAUUGCGAAGGCAGCUCACUGGACUGCAACUGACACUGAUGCUCGAAAGUGUGGGUAUCAAACAGGAUUAGAUACCCUGGUAGUCCACACAGUAAACGAUGAAUACUC